UUUCUGCUGAGCCAAAAUGAUCAGCCUUUCAAAAUUGAUCUAUGCUUCAAAAGUCUGUCAGAUGAUCCUAGGCCAGAAGGUUGAAGACUUGUUCUCAUGUGUUACUACAGGGAUCUGUACAAAUAAACAGUUGUCUCUUCAACCUUACUCAGUUCAGGGAGCCAGGCUAGGCUUCCUAUAUUUUCAUAUAAUAUUGGUCAAUUUCAUAUUUCUGAUGGAGUUGGAACUAGUUAUACUCUCAUAGCCUACCCAGACUGUUUAACUUUGAGGAUACAUAUUUAAUUAGAUAGGUGUCAGAUAAUAUAGAAGCUAGCCAUGGAUUUUAAGCUUUCCUUAAGCUGCAAUAGAUAACUAAAUGGUCUGUUUAAUUGAUAAAAUGUUUCAUUGGGCGUUAGGUAUAUUUUCUACUUUUAAAUUACAAAAUGAUAAUAGUUGUACUCAGCUUACAUUUGAGAGAAAAGUUUUGUUAAUUAGACUGAAAGGAUGAAGUGUGAGUUGAUGUCAUUACGCAGGUGAAUAAGAUAGAUAAAAGUCAGACAAGAUAAAAGAGGCCUGUGGUUGAACGAGAAGGAAGGGAGGGAACAGUGGUUUGAGAAGAGAAGGAGAAGCAGGAGAGAAGGGCUGGAUGGGGGAAAGGAGCUGGGAGAACAUGGCGCCAGAUGUUAAAAUAAUUCUCUGAUCAGAGAUACUGGAUGUUGUGACUAGUUUUAAGAGAAAGGUGUUUACAGGAUUUUGUGCUGUCUAGAUGG
This 749-nucleotide long non-coding RNA is filed under the name Rattus norvegicus (Norway rat). RNAcentral describes it as "long non-coding RNA NONRATT020929". Lineage: Eukaryota; Metazoa; Chordata; Mammalia; Rodentia; Muridae. The record is from RNAcentral.